RNAcentral lists this ribosomal RNA (495 nucleotides) under uncultured bacterium. RNAcentral's name for it is "bacterial SSU rRNA". It matches the Rfam family "Bacterial small subunit ribosomal RNA", at positions 33 to 518 of the family's 1533-position model. The record is from RNAcentral.
ACGAGGACGACGCUGGCGGCGUGCCUAACACAUGCAAGUCGAGCGGAGUUAACAAGAGGAAGUUUCGGAUGGAAUUUGUAAUUAGCGGCGGACGGGUGAGUAACGCGUGAGCGACCAACCUUGCACAGGGGGAUAACGGACCGAAAGGUUCACUAAUACCGCAUGAGACCACGGUGUUGCAUGACACAGAGGUCAAAGGAGCAAUCCGGUGCAAGACGGGCUCGCGUCCGAUUAGGUAGUUGGUGGGGUAAUGGCCCACCAAGCCUAUGGAUCGGUAGCCGACCUGAGAGGGUGAUCGGCCACAUUGGAACUGAGAUACGGUCCAAACUCCUACGGGAGGCAGCAGUGGGGAAUAUUGGGCCAAUGGGGGAAACCCUGACCCAGCAACACCGCGUGAAGGAAGAAGGUUUUCGGAUUGUAAACUUCUGUCCUUGGUGAAGAGAAGAAGACGGUAGCCAAGGAGGAAGCCCCGGCUAACUACGUGCCAGCCGCCGC